CGGUCGAUUCGACUGAAGUUUGGUAUAUUACAUUAAGUUUAGAGAUAGAAAGAUAAGGUUAGAGAGAGAUGACAUUAUAAAGUAAAAAAAAAUAAUACUAACUAGCCGGCGGAAGGAAAGAAAGAAAAGAAGUGGACUACAUUAGACCCUCUUUCAAAAGAAUGAGAUUACUACUUUGAAAUGAAUCUUAUUGUCACGUAAAUUCAAAAUUACCAAUUAGAUUAAUGCUACCCACUUCGUUUAUUUUAUUUAUUUCCUAGCUGUAAAUGUGAAUUAAGUAGGAUUCGAAUUUGAAAAUUCGGAUACAAACCAUCAAAUCUUUUGCCACUUGCGUUAGAGACAGUUGGUAAUGAAAUCCAUUUUUAGGUAUAAUUUUCCCUCUUAAAAAUAUUGAGGCAUAUAAUGGAUUCCCAACCCAACGUUGCACCCAUCGUCACCGUCCAUGUCAUCACGUACCAUCGAGAUUCAGCCUUCAGAAAAAACUAGUCUACAAACGUGCGCUGCACGUGUUAAUUAGCAAACUAAAUUUAAAAAUAAAAAAUCAUAAAAUUAUUUUUAAAAUAAAUAAUAUUUAAAUUUGUGUUAUAUAAUGUAAUUUUGACAUUUCUA
Molecule: long non-coding RNA, 609 nt
Filed under: Ananas comosus (pineapple)
Lineage: Eukaryota; Viridiplantae; Streptophyta; Magnoliopsida; Poales; Bromeliaceae
Description: long non-coding RNA (ACOM_LNC040519)
Source: RNAcentral